This 1339-nucleotide ribosomal RNA is filed under the name uncultured bacterium. RNAcentral describes it as "bacterial SSU rRNA". It matches the Rfam family "Bacterial small subunit ribosomal RNA", at positions 28 to 1381 of the family's 1533-position model. The record is from RNAcentral.
GACGAACGCUGGCGGCGUGCUUAACACAUGCAAGUCGAACGGUAAGGCUCCAGCUUGCUGGGGUACACGAGUGGCGAACGGGUGAGUAACACGUGGGUGACCUGCCCUGCACUUCGGGAUAAGCCUGGGAAACUGGGUCUAAUACCGGAUAGGACCGCACCGUGAGGGUGUGGUGGAAAGUUUUUUCGGUGUGGGAUGGGCCCGCGGCCUAUCAGCUUGUUGGUGGGGUAAUGGCCUACCAAGGCGGCGACGGGUAGCCGGCCUGAGAGGGUGGACGGCCACAUUGGGACUGACACACCGCCCACACUCCUACGGGAGGCAGCAGUGGGGAAUAUUGCACAAUGGGCGGAAGCCUGAUGCAGCGACGCCGCGUGGGGGAUGACGGCCUUCCGGUUGUCACCUCCCUUCACCAUCGACUACGGGUUUCUGACCAUAGAUGGAGAAGAACCACCGGCUAACUACGUGCCACCAGCCCCCGUAAUACGUAAGGCGCGAGCGCUGACCCCAAUUACUGGGGGUAAAGAGCCCGUAGUGGUUUGUCGCGUCGUCUGUGAAUUCCGGGGCUUAACUCCGGGCGUGCAGGCGAUACGGGCAUAACUUGAGUACUGUAGGGGAGACUGGAAUUCCUGGUGUAGCGGUGAAAUGCGCAGAUAUCAGGAGGAACACCGGUGGCGAAGGCGGGUCUCUGGGCAGUAACUGACGCUGAGGAGCGAAAGCAUGGGGAGCGAACAGGAUUAGAUACCCUGGUAGUCCAUGCCGUAAACGGUGGGCGCUAGGUGUGGGUUUCCUUCCACGGGAUCCGUGCCGUAGCUAACGCAUUAAGCGCCCCGCCUGGGGAGUACGGCCGCAAGGCUAAAACUCAAAGGAAUUGACGGGGGCCCGCACAAGCGGCGGAGCAUGUGGAUUAAUUCGAUGCAACGCGAAGAACCUUACCUGGGCUUGACAUAUACAGGAUCGCGCCAGAGAUGGUGUUUCCCUUGUGGCUUGUAUACAGGUGGUGCAUGGUUGUCGUCAGCUCGUGUCGUGAGAUGUUGGGUUAAGUCCCGCAACGAGCGCAACCCUUGUCUUAUGUUGCCAGCACGUUGUGGUGGGGACUCGUAAGAAACUGCCGGGGUUAACUCGGAGGAAGGUGGGGAUGACGUCAAAUCAUCAUGCCCCUUAUGUCCAGGGCUUCACACAUGCUACAAUGGUCGGUACAGUGGGUUGCCAGUCCGUGAGGGCGAGCUAAUCCCGCAAAGCCGGUCUCAGUUCGGAUCGGGGUCUGCAACUCGACCCCGUGAAGUCGGAGUCGCUAGUAAUCGCAGAUCAGCAACGCUGCGGUGAAUACGUUCCCGGGCCU